UAUGGCCAUAUCACCCUGAACAUGCCUGAUCUCAUCUGGUCUCAGAAUUUAAGCAAGGUCACAAGCUAAACUGGGUUAAUGUUAGGUGGGACCAUGCUCAGAACAAAGGACCUAACAUGAUGGCCAUAU
Molecule: ribosomal RNA, 129 nt
Filed under: Jaculus jaculus (lesser Egyptian jerboa)
Lineage: Eukaryota; Metazoa; Chordata; Mammalia; Rodentia; Dipodidae
Source: RNAcentral